Molecule: ribosomal RNA, 497 nt
Filed under: uncultured bacterium
Lineage: Bacteria
Description: partial 16S ribosomal RNA
Rfam family: Bacterial small subunit ribosomal RNA
Source: RNAcentral
GAUGAACGCUGGCGGCGUGCCUAAUACAUGCCAGUCGAGCGAACAGACGAGGAGCUUGCUCCUCUGACGUUAGCGGCGGACGGGUGAGUAACACGUGGAUAACCUACCUAUAAGACUGGGAUAACUUCGGGAAACCGGAGCUAAUACCGGAUAAUAUAUUGAACCGCAUGGUUCAAUAGUGAAGGACGGUUUUGCUGUCACUUAUAGAUGGAUCCGCGCCGCAUUAGCUAGUUGGUAAGGUAACGGCUUACCAAGGCAACGAUGCGUAGCCGACCUGAGAGGGUGAUCGGCCACACUGGAACUGAGACACGGUCCAGACUCCUACGGGAGGCAGCAGUAGGGAAUCUUCCGCAAUGGGCGAAAGCCUGACGGAGCAACGCCGCGUGAGUGAUGAAGGUCUUCGGAUCGUAAAACUCUGUUAUUAGGGAAGAACAAGUGUGUAAGUAACUAUGCACGUCUUGACGGUACCUAAUCAGAAAGCCACGGCUAACUACGUG